Molecule: long non-coding RNA, 1535 nt
Filed under: Equus caballus (horse)
Lineage: Eukaryota; Metazoa; Chordata; Mammalia; Perissodactyla; Equidae
Description: lncRNA (ENSECAG00000049151.1)
Source: RNAcentral
CUGACAUGUAGUUGGCGCUCAAUUAAUAUUUGUUGAAUAAAUAAAUGAAUGAAAGCAAUUAUCUAAAGGGCUAUGGAACAAGCCAUCCAAGGAGAAUAUGAGCAACUUGGUGUGAGAGUAUGCGAUGCAGCGAUGAGCAUAUAAGUCAUGUUAAAAUGUGCGUGACGCUUGCAUCGGUGCAGGAAUGAUAAGGAGGAAUCUCUCAAUACAAAGGACAUAAUUCUAUAGACAUUUUCCUUUUUAUUCUCUUACAAAUUGUAGGAUCAACACCAAAUAGUAAGAGCAAAAAAGACUUAGGGGGCUAUUCCUCACUUCUUUUGGACCAAGUUGUGUUCUGCAGAAAACAGAUGUCCUAUGAAAUGGUAAUGCGUAUUCCACAAAUCAGAUCAUUAAAUGUAGGAAUGUGAACUGGAAUGUUGACACAAGGGAUCAAGGAUAGUUUCCAUAGAACAUCAUUUGGAAAAUGCUGCUUUGCAGCAUUAUUUGCUCCAACUCAUUCAUACCAUCGCUCAGGUCAGCAGGCGGCCAGCAUGUGUUGUUUUGCGGCUGGCAUUCCCACCACAGGAGUUGUUCCAAGGAGUGACUCUAUCUAAAGCUGUCUUCACUGGUAACACUUCACUCUUUGGCACUUUUUUCCACUCUCCAUUUUCAUCUCCGUUGCUACCCUCAAUCCCCUCUCAUGUCUCUACCUUCAGAUGUACUAGGAUUCACUUCUUAGCUUGAAUUGGAACCUGAUUUCAGUGUUGACCCAAAUCCAUCAUUCAAGGGCAAUGACAAGGUCCAAGACUGAUAAAGUCCCACUUGGGAAAUGUGUCUCAGCAGAGUACAUAAUAGGUAGUCAACCAGAAACAAACUUUUCUUGCUUAUGAGUUGUACUUGCAAAUUAAAGGGGCGAUUGGAAUAUAAGAACAAGGAAAGAAGAUGAGCCAUGUUUAUACUGAGCCAAUAGAUCAAGUCACUGACAGAGAAGAUAGGAGUACUGAAAUUGUCAGAUUGUGGAACAAACAGUUUGUUGACUCCACUGUGACUAAAAUGUUUGGUAGACGACAAAGUAUCAAAUAUAGACAGCUUUGGGUUAGAGGACUUUGCCCAGCUGUAGACUCACGUGAGUGUUCUGAGCAUGCUGAAGGGGGCGAGGCUAAGCCAGGAAGUUCAGUGGGGUAGGUGGAUUAAAUGCACUUUCGACUUAGGAUAUUUUCAGUUUACAGUGGGUUUUUUGGGAUAUUACCCUAUCAUUAAGUUAAGGAAGAUCUGUAUCUUAGCUAUUUGGAGGUUGAACAGCUGUGGACUUUCCUAGACUAUUCUGUCUCUCUUCAAAAAAUAAAAACAAACAUAAAAGCAAGUGGUAAUGGGAAAAUUGGGUAAAGAUGUUUGACAAGAGAAGUUAUCCUUAGAUGGUUUUACCUACAUAGUUUUCACUAUUUGCUGUUUUAAACUUACUGCCCAUAAUUUCCUGUCCGUAACUUACUGGCAUGGUUAGCUAACCUUCUCUUCUUUCAUUUAUCUAACAGUUUUGGGGCUGCUCUGAGAAUGCC